Molecule: ribosomal RNA, 253 nt
Filed under: uncultured Bellilinea sp.
Lineage: Bacteria; Bacillati; Chloroflexota; Anaerolineae; Anaerolineales; Anaerolineaceae
Description: partial 16S ribosomal RNA
Rfam family: Bacterial small subunit ribosomal RNA
Source: RNAcentral
CACGUAGGAGGCAAGCGUUAUCCGGAUUCACUGGGCUUAAAGCGCGUGUAGGCGGUCCGGUAAGUCGGACGUGAAAUCUCCCGGCUCAACUGGGAGGGGUCGUUCGAUACUGUCGGACUUGAGGGCAGGAGAGGGAGGUGGAAUUCCGGGUGUAGCGGUGAAAUGCGUAGAUAUCCGGAGGAACACCUGUGGCGAAAGCGGCCUCCUGGUCUGCCCCUGACGCUCAGACGCGAAAGCCAGGGGAGCGAACGGG